CAGCCGCCACGGGAACACGAAGGGUGCAAGCGUUACUCGGAAUUACUGGGCGUAAAGCGUGCGUAGGUGGUGGUUUAAGUCCGUUGUGAAAGCCCUGGGCUCAACCUGGGAAUUGCAGUGGAUACUGGGUCACUAGAGUGUGGUAGAGGAUAGUGGAAUUUCCGGUGUAGCAGUGAAAUGCGUAGAGAUCGGAAGGAACAUCUGUGGCGAAGGCGACUAUCUGGGCCAACACUGACACUGAGGCACGAAAGCGUGGGGAGCAAACAGGAUUAGAUACCCCCGUAGUCCCUGUCUCUUAUAC
RNAcentral lists this ribosomal RNA (301 nucleotides) under uncultured bacterium. Its description in RNAcentral is "partial 16S ribosomal RNA". It matches the Rfam family "Bacterial small subunit ribosomal RNA", at positions 509 to 807 of the family's 1533-position model. The record is from RNAcentral.